Molecule: ribosomal RNA, 497 nt
Filed under: uncultured bacterium
Lineage: Bacteria
Description: partial 16S ribosomal RNA
Rfam family: Bacterial small subunit ribosomal RNA
Source: RNAcentral
GACGAACGCUGGCGGCGUGCCUAAUACAUGCAAGUAGAACGCUGAAGAGAGGAGCUUGCUCUUCUUGGAUGAGUUGCGAACGGGUGAGUAACGCGUAGGUAACCUGCCUUGUAGCGGGGGAUAACUAUUGGAAACGAUAGCUAAUACCGCAUAACAAUGGAUGACACAUGUCAUUUAUUUGAAAGGGGCAAUUGCUCCACUACAAGAUGGACCUGCGUUGUAUUAGCUAGUAGGUGAGGUAAUGGCUCACCUAGGCGACGAUACAUAGCCGACCUGAGAGGGUGAUCGGCCACACUGGGACUGAGACACGGCCCAGACUCCUACGGGAGGCAGCAGUAGGGAAUCUUCGGCAAUGGGGGCAACCCUGACCGAGCAACGCCGCGUGAGUGAAGAAGGUUUUCGGAUCGUAAAGCUCUGUUGUAAGUCAAGAACGGGUGUGAGAGUGGAAAGUCCACACUGUGACGGUAGCUUACCAGAAAGGGACGGCUAACUACGUG